CCUACGGGGGGCAGCAGUGAGGAAUAUUGGUCAAUGGGCGAGAGCCUGAACCAGCCAAGUCGCGUGAAGGAUGAAGGAUCUAUGGUUUGUAAACUUCUUUUAUAUGGGAAUAAAGUGAGGAACGUGUUCCUUUUUGUAUGUACCAUAUGAAUAAGCAUCGGCUAACUCCGUGCCAGCAGCCGCGGUAAUACGGAGGAUGCGAGCGUUAUCCGGAUUUAUUGGGUUUAAAGGGUGCGUAGGUGGUUAAUUAAGUCAGCGGUGAAAGUUUGUGGCUCAACCAUAAAAUUGCAGUUGAAACUGGUUGUCUUGAGUAUAUUUGAGGUAGGCGGAAUGCGUGGUGUAGCGGUGAAAUGCAUAGAUAUCACGCAGAACUCCGAUUGCGAAGGCAGCUUACUAAACUAUAACUGACACUGAAGCACGAAAGCGUGGGGAUCAAACAGGAUUAGAUACCCUUGUAGUC
This 460-nucleotide ribosomal RNA is filed under the name uncultured bacterium. Its description in RNAcentral is "partial 16S ribosomal RNA". It matches the Rfam family "Bacterial small subunit ribosomal RNA", at positions 338 to 795 of the family's 1533-position model. The record is from RNAcentral.